GUAGUUGCCAUCAUUCAGUUGGGCACUCUAGCGAGACUGCCGGUAAUAAACCGGAGGAAGGUGGGGAUGACGUCAAAUCAUCAUGCCCCUUAUGACCUGGGCUACACACGUGCUACAAUGGUUGGUACAACGAGUUGCGAGUCGGUGACGGCGAGCUAAUCUCUUAAAGCCAAUCUCAGUUCGGAUUGUAGGCUGCAACUCGCCUACAUGAAGCCGGAAUCGCUAGUAAUCGCGGAUCAGCAUGCCGCGGUGAAUACGUUCCCGGGCCUU
RNAcentral lists this ribosomal RNA (270 nucleotides) under uncultured Streptococcus sp. Its description in RNAcentral is "partial 16S ribosomal RNA". It matches the Rfam family "Bacterial small subunit ribosomal RNA", at positions 1111 to 1382 of the family's 1533-position model. Lineage: Bacteria; Bacillati; Bacillota; Bacilli; Lactobacillales; Streptococcaceae. The record is from RNAcentral.